This 1036-nucleotide long non-coding RNA is filed under the name Olea europaea (common olive). Its description in RNAcentral is "long non-coding RNA (OEUR_LNC009143)". Lineage: Eukaryota; Viridiplantae; Streptophyta; Magnoliopsida; Lamiales; Oleaceae. The record is from RNAcentral.
AAGGAGUUCUGAAAUUUCCUCAAUGCAAUUCAGCCCGCCAGUCAAGACAAAGACAACCAGCCACGUUUUACAAUUUUUAAUGUAAGUUCUAUUUUCAUCAUCAUUUUGAUUUGUAUUUUUGUUUAAUAAUUCCACCAUUAUCUGUCCACUUCCUUUUGAGAUACAAAAGUUGUUGUAGACUCGUUUGAUUAAUUUUAUGAAAGUGCUUCUCUUAAUUUGAAGAGUUUUUUAGAGAGAAAAAUUGCUGCAAUGUGAUUUUCUCUGAAAACGGUUUUGGAAUAGAAAGUUUUUUUUUUUUUUUAAAUUAAGUCAACGUUUCUUCUAAAGAAAGUAAAAGCAAAAAUCAUGUCAAAUGAACGUAUAUAAUGUUAAUUUUGUUAUCAAUUUAAAUUUUAUGUUUUUUUGAAAAAAUUGGCAUCUACUAGAGAACCCCAUACUCAAAUUGUCCGUAUUUGAAUUUCCUAAAAAUAAAAAUUUUUAGUAAAAAUUAAUGAUAUAUAUGAUUAAAAAAUUAAAAAAAAUUAAAAUCCAAAAAUAUGUUAUUAAAAUUAAUUGUUGAUUUGGACUUAUAACUUUUUUAGUUAAACCAAAUAGGUGCGGUUACUUUAUGAAUAAUUUGGAAUUCAAGAAUUAGAGAUUAAAAAUUUCCUCUUGGGUCGCAUUGAGAUUUUAUUUAUUUAUUACUUCUUAACUAAUUCAUUGAUUUUUUUUUAUUUUCUGAACAGGUACAAAAAUAUGACCUAAUUGCCUUAUUGGUUUCAAAACUUUGUAUAAUUUCCAAUUUGACCCAUAUAUAUUCCCAUACAUGGCAAUGCUUAAGAAAGUGGGAUGGAGAGUCAUUUUAUUUUUCAAAAACUCUUUUUCAACUACACAUUCUCAUUUAAAAUAAUUUUACAUAUAAAUCAAUAGUAUUUUUUUAUUUUUUAAUUAUACAUUCUCCAAAAAAUCACCGUUUCUAAAUACUUCUCACAAAAAAUGGGCAAUAGCUCUUCAAAGCCGUCUUCCCCGCCACCUCCACCUCCACCUCCACCUCCAC